GCCCGCGGCCUAUCAUCUUGUUGGUGGGGUAAUGGCCUACCAAGGCGUCAACGGGUAGCCGGCCUGAGAGGGUGGACGGCCACCUUGGGACUGAGAUACGGCCCAGACUCCUACGGGAGGCAGCAGUGGGGAAUAUUGCACAAUGGGCGCAAGCCUGAUGCAGCGACGCCGCGUGAGGGAUGACGGCCUUCGGGUUGUAAACCUCUUUCGACAGGGACAAAGCUUUUUGUGACGGUACCUGUAUAAGAAGCACCGGCUAACUACGUGCCAGCAGCCGCGGUAAUACGUAGGGUGCGAGCGUUGUCCCGAAUUACUGGGCGUAAAGAGCUCGUAGGUGGUUUGUCGCGUCGUCUGUGAAAUUCCGGGGCUUAACUCCGGGCGUGCAGGCGAUACGGGCAUAACUUGAGUGCUGUAGGGGAGACUGGAAUUCCUGGUGUAGCGGUGGAAUGCGCAGAUAUCAGGAGGAACACCGAUGGCGAAGGCAGGUCUCUGGGCAGUAACUGACGCUGAGGAGCGAAAGCAUGGGGAGCGAACAGGAUUAGAUACCCUGGUAGUCCAUGCCGUAAACGGUGGCCGCUAGGUGUGAGGGUCUUCCACGACUUUCGUGCCGUAGCUAACGCAUUAAGCGCCCNGCCUGGGGAGUACGGCCGCAAGGCUAAAACUCAAAGGAAUUGACGGGGGCCNGCACAAGCGGCGGAGCAUGUGGAUUAAUUCGAUGCAACGCGAAGAACCUUACCUGGGCUUGACAUACACAAGAUCGGCGUAGAGA
RNAcentral lists this ribosomal RNA (769 nucleotides) under Corynebacterium pseudotuberculosis. Its description in RNAcentral is "bacterial SSU rRNA". It matches the Rfam family "Bacterial small subunit ribosomal RNA", at positions 229 to 1006 of the family's 1533-position model. Lineage: Bacteria; Bacillati; Actinomycetota; Actinomycetes; Mycobacteriales; Corynebacteriaceae. The record is from RNAcentral.